GAAGAGGUCAGGAGAGAAGAAAAGGAGGAGAAGAAGACGACGGAAGAGGUCAGGACAGAAGAAAAGGAGAAGAAAGAAGAAAAGGCUAAGGAGGAGGCUGCCAGGCCUGCCACACCUCCAAGCCAGCCCCGUGCUAGGACACCAUCGGUAUCAUCUUCAUCUUCCAACGGAAGUUUGGAUGAACAACUUUAAAAAGUCAUCGUAAUGCUAUAAAGGUUAUUAUGGGUUAAUUUUUCUUUGCAUGUUAUUUCUUCAUUAGAACAAUUGACUACCAGGUCCUUUUCUGACGUCAUGUAUUACAUGGAAGUCCUGUGCGACAGGUUUGCCCCUUUUGGUUGAUAACAGAAAUCAUGACAUAAUGUCGAGCUGUAACUAUAAACUUGGAUAGGUUGUACUAAUGAAUGUUCUUCUCUACUAUAUCUGACCACUACUUAGCUUCAACUCUGUAUCAGACGCAAGACAGACGUCAAACGUGAAGUGUUCACUUACAGAGACAUGUAAUCUGAUCCGUCAAGCCCUGUCUAUCAACACUAUCAAUAAACUAUCGAGUGCACUUGACAUUGCUGCACUUAACACUGUAGUACAUUUUAGUAAAUGGCAUCAGCCUAUCUACAUUUACACCAGAUUUCUGUUCUGUUUGCUGUGUAUUGACAGUCACUAUUUUCAGCGUUUCAAUCACAGAGAGAUCACUAAGGUGUGCUGUUUUCCUAGCAAUUCUAUCCAUCAACUUUUCCAUCUCAAAAGAAAUCAGUUUGUUGUAUUAUUUGAACCGACAAUUACUAUGGCAAUACAAUCCUAUGAAGACAAUGGAUGAUGACCACCAAACUACUCUGAGAUGAACUAGUGUUGAGACUGUUAGUGAUGAUCUUAAUAUCCAUAAGGAAAGUGUGUCAUCAGUCUUGUAGGCUGUCGACUGACCUCUGUAGAUGUUCUGUCGUCGUGAUGAAUGCUGUGAUGUUGAAAUAAACUGCAUUCCUGCUAAAAAA
This is a long non-coding RNA of Clupea harengus (Atlantic herring), 986 nucleotides long. RefSeq lists it as uncharacterized. The record is from RefSeq and is a predicted model, not a curated record. NCBI's taxonomy places the organism in Eukaryota, Metazoa, Chordata, Actinopteri, Clupeiformes, Clupeidae. The transcript is spliced from 2 exons.